Molecule: ribosomal RNA, 263 nt
Filed under: uncultured bacterium
Lineage: Bacteria
Description: partial 16S ribosomal RNA
Rfam family: Bacterial small subunit ribosomal RNA
Source: RNAcentral
GACGUAGGGGGCGAGCGUUGUCCGGAAUUACUGGGCGUAAAGGGCGCGUAGGCGGCAAGGUAAGUUAGAUGUGAAAACUCAGAGCUUAACUCCGAGAUUGCAUCUAAAACUGCCUAGCUUGAGUGCAUUAGAGGAGAGCGGAAUUCCUAGUGUAGCGGUGAAAUGCGUAGAUAUUAGGAAGAACACCAGUGGCGAAGGCGGCUCUCUGGGAUGUAACUGACGCUGAGGCGCGAAAGCUGGGGGAGCGAACGGGAUUAGAUACC